GCAACUCGCUACAUGAAGUCGGAAUCGCUAGUAAUCGCGGAUCAGCAUGCCGCGGUGAAUACGUUCCCGGGCCUUGUACACACCGCCCGUCACACCAUGAGAGUUUGUAACACCCAAAGCCGGUGGGGUAACCUUUUGGAGCCAGCCGUCUAAGGUGGGACAGAUGAUUAGGGUGAAGUCGUAACAAGGUAGC
RNAcentral lists this ribosomal RNA (193 nucleotides) under uncultured bacterium. RNAcentral's name for it is "partial 16S ribosomal RNA". It matches the Rfam family "Bacterial small subunit ribosomal RNA", at positions 1307 to 1500 of the family's 1533-position model. The record is from RNAcentral.